GAUGAACGCUAGCUACAGGCUUAACACAUGCAAGUCGCGGGGCAGCAUGGGGGUUGCUUGCCAUCCCCGAUGGCGACCGGCGCACGGGUGAGUAACGCGUAUUCAACCUGCCCUUCACCACGGGAUAACCCGGCGAAAGUCGGACUAAUACCGUAUGUUGUCCAUUGACGGCAUCCGAUUUGGACGAAAGGCUUGGCGGUGAGGGAUGGGGAUGCGUCCGAUUAGCCAGACGGCGGGGUAACGGCCCACCGUGGCUACGAUCGGUAGGGGUUCUGAGAGGAAGGUCCCCCACACUGGAACUGAGACACGGUCCAGACUCCUACGGGAGGCAGCAGUGAGGAAUAUUGGUCAAUGGGCGUAAGCCUGAACCAGCCAAGUAGCGUGCAGGAUGACGGCCCUAUGGGUUGUAAACUGCUUUUAUGCGGGGAUAAAGUGGCCCACGUGUGGGCUUUUGCAGGUACCGCAUGAAUAAGAACCGGCUAAUUCCGUG
Molecule: ribosomal RNA, 490 nt
Filed under: uncultured bacterium
Lineage: Bacteria
Description: partial 16S ribosomal RNA
Rfam family: Bacterial small subunit ribosomal RNA
Source: RNAcentral